ACGACGACGUCUCCUCGUCUCCGGCGGCGGCGGAGGCCAUGCACGACGACGGCUCCUUGUCUCCGGCGGCGGCGGAGGCCAUGGACGACGACGGCUCCUCGUCUCCGGCGUCGUACAUCAGACUGGUACGCAAGUGCUUUCGCGCGAUCUGCUGCCGUGCAUUGAGAAUUUGAGAUACACGGCAUGCAUGGUGAUAUUUAAGCAUGGUGAUGAUAUAUGUAAGCGAAACCUUAAUUAUAAUAUGCAGGUGCAGCAUCUGAUCGAGAAGUGCAUCUGCUACAGCAUGAACAAGGAGGAGUGCAUGGUGACGUUGGAGAAGCACGCCAACAUCCAGCCCGUCAUCACAUCCACCGGUAUUGUCCUAGCUGCAUGUUCUUCUUCUUCAUCUUCCAUUGCAUCCCUGCAAGCGAUUAGACGAGGGCAUUUCCCGAAACUUGCUAGUCCAGUAGUCCUAUUAUAUUGUUGAUUUCUUCUUUGCGUUGAUAGUUUGGAAGGAGCUGGAGAAGGAGAACAGGGAGUUCUUCGAGACGUACAGGAAGGAGAACAGGGAGUUCUUCGAGACGUACAAGAAGGAUCGGCCGGGAGAAGAGUCGACGCAGAAGAAUCCAUCCGACGAGAAGCCUUCCGCUCCCAAGAGCUCAGAGCCUCAGACGACGACGACGACGACGAGGAGC
RNAcentral lists this long non-coding RNA (674 nucleotides) under Setaria italica (foxtail millet). RNAcentral describes it as "long non-coding RNA (SITA_LNC004081)". Lineage: Eukaryota; Viridiplantae; Streptophyta; Magnoliopsida; Poales; Poaceae. The record is from RNAcentral.